CACGUAGGGCGCAAGCGUUGUCCGGAAUUAUUGGGCGUAAAGAGCUCGUAGGCGGUCUGUUACGUCUGCUGUGAAAACCCGGGGCUUAACCCUGGGCUUGCAGUGGAUACGGGCAGACUAGAGGCAGGUAGGGGAGAAUGGAAUUCCCGGUGUAGCGGUGAAAUGCGCAGAUAUCAGGAGGAACACCGAUUGCGAAGGCAGCUCGCUGGGACGUCACUGACGCUGAGACGCGAAAGCGUGGGGAGCAAACAGG
RNAcentral lists this ribosomal RNA (253 nucleotides) under uncultured bacterium. Its description in RNAcentral is "partial 16S ribosomal RNA". It matches the Rfam family "Bacterial small subunit ribosomal RNA", at positions 524 to 776 of the family's 1533-position model. The record is from RNAcentral.